UCCAGUGAUCCUGGCACCUUAAGGGCAGUUUACCAAAUCAACUCCCAUGCUCUAAUUCACUUCAGUUUAUGGUUAAUUCUUACUAAAUGGUCACUAAUUUGCCAUUAAAAUGAUCAUGCACCAUUACAAGAACAAAACCCAAAUUGUUCAUAAAACCCUAAGUCCCUAACUUCUCAAAUCUUGCAUUAUACAUAUAAGUAAAAUUUUUAUCUCACUUAUAUAUAUCAAGGGAUAUAUAUCCCUACAUCAUUUUAAGUCCAUCAAAAGCCAUCAAACUCAUGGAACUUCAUGGCCGCCGAAAUUUAAAGAAACCCUAACAUGUAUAGUUUGCUUCAAAUUUUUUUUAAUUCAUUGCUUAAUUUGUUGUUCUAACAAGAGAUAAAGAUAUCAGAGAGAAAAAUAAGGCACUAACCUCAUUUUAGAGCUUUUCAAGAGCUCUAAUUCUUCCCCUUUUUCCUUUUCUUUUUGCUGCCUAGGGGUUAUUCAAGGUGCAAGGAAGAGUUUUGGUGAAGGAAGUGAGUGGGUUUAUGGUGAAAUUAAGUGGGAUGUGAAGCUUGAUGAAGCUUUAAUGGAGAUUUGGGUUAAGGGGAGGAGUUCGGCUGGUUUGAGGGAGA
This 614-nucleotide unclassified non-coding RNA is filed under the name Hevea brasiliensis (rubber tree). Lineage: Eukaryota; Viridiplantae; Streptophyta; Magnoliopsida; Malpighiales; Euphorbiaceae. The record is from RNAcentral.